UUCUCAGUGACUUAGCUGGUAAAGAACCUGCCUACAGUGCAGGAGACCUGGGUUCAAUUCCUGGGUUGGGACA
RNAcentral lists this transfer RNA (73 nucleotides) under Bos taurus (domestic cattle). It matches the Rfam family "tRNA". Rfam says of the family: Transfer RNA (tRNA) molecules are approximately 80 nucleotides in length. Their secondary structure includes four short double-helical elements and three loops (D, anti-codon, and T loops). The record is from Rfam by way of RNAcentral. Lineage: Eukaryota; Metazoa; Chordata; Mammalia; Artiodactyla; Bovidae. RNAcentral also lists the same sequence under 1 other name.